GUGAGACAGAGGAGAGUGGAAUUUCGUGUGUAGGGGUGAAAUCUGUAGAUCUACGAAGGAACACCAAAAGCGAAGGCAAAUCUCUGGGUCCCUAC
Molecule: ribosomal RNA, 95 nt
Filed under: Triticum aestivum (bread wheat)
Lineage: Eukaryota; Viridiplantae; Streptophyta; Magnoliopsida; Poales; Poaceae
Description: rRNA SSU_rRNA_eukarya
Rfam family: Bacterial small subunit ribosomal RNA
Source: RNAcentral